RNAcentral lists this ribosomal RNA (224 nucleotides) under uncultured bacterium. RNAcentral describes it as "partial 16S ribosomal RNA". It matches the Rfam family "Bacterial small subunit ribosomal RNA", at positions 30 to 252 of the family's 1533-position model. The record is from RNAcentral.
AUUGAACGCUGGCGGCAUGCCUUACACAUGCAAGUCGAACGGCAGCGCGGGGCAACCUGGCGGCGAGUGGCGAACGGGUGAGUAAUAUAUCGGAACGUACCCUGGAGUGGGGGAGUAACGUAGCGAAGUUACGCUAAUACCGCAUACGAUCUAAGGAGUGAAAGUAGGGGGAGUCGCAAGAACCUCAUGCUCCUGGAGCGGCCGAUAUCUGAUUAGCUAGUUGG